GACGAACGCUGGCGGCGUGGAUUAGGCAUGCAAGUCGAACGGUAGGAUACCUUCGGGUAUCUGAGAGUGGCGAACGGGUGAGUAACACGUAGGUGAUCUACCCUCAAGAUUGGGACAACCCAGGGAAACUUGGGCUAAUACCGGAUGAAAGCAGCAGUGAUGUUGUUUGAAAGGUGGCGUAAGCUGCCGUUUGGGGAUGAGCCUGCGCUCUAUUAGUUAGUUGGCGGGGUAAAGGCCCACCAAGGCGAUGAUAGAUAGGCGGCCUUAACGGGUGGUCGCCCACACUGGGAUUGAGAUACGGCCCAGACUCCUACGGGAGGCAGCAGUCGAGAAUAGUCUACAAUGGCCGAAAGGCUGAUAGUGCGACGCCGCGUUGAAACGAAGAAGCCCCUUGGGGUGUAAAGUUCUUUUAUAUGUGAGCAGUGCUUUCUAUGUGAACAGCAUGGGGAGAGAGAUAUUAGCAUAAUGAAUAAGCAACGGCUAACUCCGUGCCAGCAGCCG
RNAcentral lists this ribosomal RNA (501 nucleotides) under uncultured bacterium. Its description in RNAcentral is "bacterial SSU rRNA". It matches the Rfam family "Bacterial small subunit ribosomal RNA", at positions 28 to 517 of the family's 1533-position model. The record is from RNAcentral.